Molecule: ribosomal RNA, 1617 nt
Filed under: Triticum aestivum (bread wheat)
Lineage: Eukaryota; Viridiplantae; Streptophyta; Magnoliopsida; Poales; Poaceae
Description: partial small subunit ribosomal RNA
Source: RNAcentral
AUGCAAGCCGCCGCGAGAUCGCUCGCCGCGGCACGCCGCCUCGCGCCUCGCAGCUGGCGCCCCCUCCCCCUCCCCCGCUUCCACACCGCCUCGCCCCACGAUCCGUCCCCGGAUCCGGGCCCAGACGUCGACCCAGGGCUCGUGAGCACGCUUAGCCGCGUGCUCAGCGACUUCCGUGGCCCGCGCCACGACCUCCCCGCCGCGCUCCGCGGCUUCGCGCCGCGCAUCACCCCCGACGCGGCGGCCGCGGUGCUGCGCCGGUGCCGCCACCUCCCCGUGCCGUCUCUCCGGUUCUUCCUCUUUGCCGCGGGGCUGCCCGGGUUCUCUCACCUGCCGGAUUCGCUCCUCAUCCUGGCCAAUUCGCUCGCUGGUGCGCGGCUCUUCCCGCUCCUGCGCUCGCUGCUGUCUGACCUCCCACCGGCUGCGCUCUCGCGGGACCUCUUCCCGCGGUUGUUCCGUGCUUACUCACGUGCGCUUCUCCCGGAUGAUGCGAUCCGGGCCUUCUCCUCCAUGGCGGGGUUCGGCUUCCACCCAACGCUGGCCGAUUUCCACUCGCUGCUAUUCGCCUUGUGCCAUAAUGGCCUUGUAAAUCAUGCUGAGGUCUUCUUCAAAGAGUCGGGGACCCAUUUCGAUGUCUCAGCCAAGACCUACACCAUCCUGAUCUCUGGGUGGGCUGUUGUGGAAAAGCCGGAAAACGCGCAAAAGUUAUUUGAUGAAAUGGUUGAGAGAGGUGUUGAGCCUGAUGUGCCUGCCUACAAUGCAUUGAUUGAUGCCUUAUGCCGCGGAGGUGAUAUUGCACGUGCGCAGGAACAUCUGAAAGAUAUGCAACAGAGCCGUGGGCUUGUUCCAGAUGCUGCUACUUAUGGUCCAUUCCUUCGUGCUGCCUGUGCAUCCAAGGAUGCUCGGGAUGCUCUUCGUGUACUAGAUAGGAUGCGCAUGCAUGACCUCACACCAAAUGUAUUCACAUAUAAUGCUAUAAUUCGGUUAUUGUGCGAACUGGGAGAGAUUGAGGAGGCUUAUAAUAUCCUUGGUGAGAUCAUUACGCGAGGGGAAAAGCCUGAUGUUUGGACAUGCAACACUCUGCUUAAUGCACAUUGUAAGAAGAAUGAGGUGAACAAGUCUUUGAGGCUUAUUGCAAGAAUGGAUAAAGGCUUGUGUGUGCCAGAUCGUCAUUCUUACAACAUGUUACUAAAAACGUUGAUUGGUGUAGGAAGGAUUGAUAAGGCUGUUGAGGUAUGGGACGGGAUGGAAACACGUGGCUUUCACCCAGGCGCAGCAACUUAUGCUGUCAUGAUCCAUGGGUUAUCUUGCAAGAAGGGAAGAUUAGAGGAGGCCUGCGGCUAUUUUGUGAUGAUGGUGGAUGGAGGUAUCCCACCCUACCAGGCUACUUGUGAGGUUUUGAGGGAUAGGCUGACAAGGCAUGGUCUGAGGGAUCAACUUGAGGUCCUCAUUGAUAGGAUGAGGCGGAGCACUUCCUGCACAAUACAAGAAAUGGCAAGUAUCAUGCGCAGUAGUAAGAGGGCUGAUGAAACUAGAAGCGCGAGCAGUGGCCAAGAACUCCCAGGGCAUGAUCUUGAUGAGAAUGAAUGGAGGGGGAAAUGGAAACUAGGAGAUUGA